Molecule: transfer RNA, 89 nt
Filed under: Microconidiobolus nodosus
Lineage: Eukaryota; Fungi; Entomophthoromycota; Entomophthoromycetes; Entomophthorales; Conidiobolaceae
Description: Conidiobolus nodosus tRNA-Ser
Rfam family: tRNA
About the family: Transfer RNA (tRNA) molecules are approximately 80 nucleotides in length. Their secondary structure includes four short double-helical elements and three loops (D, anti-codon, and T loops).
Source: RNAcentral
GGGUAGAUGACAGAGUCUGGUUGAAUGUGAUGCACUUGAAAUGCAUAGAGAAGAAAACUUCUCCUAGGGUUCAAAUCCCUAUCUAUCCG